RNAcentral lists this ribosomal RNA (274 nucleotides) under uncultured bacterium. Its description in RNAcentral is "partial 16S ribosomal RNA". It matches the Rfam family "Bacterial small subunit ribosomal RNA", at positions 523 to 796 of the family's 1533-position model. The record is from RNAcentral.
AUACGGAGGGUGCAAGCGUUACUCGGAAUCACUGGGCGUAAAGCGCGCGCAGGCGGUCUUUUAAGUUGGAUGUGAAAGCCUACGGCUCAACCGUAGAACUGCACCCAAAACUAUUAGACUAGAGUGUGGGAGAGGAAGAUGGAAUUAGUUGUGUAGGGGUAAAAUCCGUAGAGAUAACUAGGAAUACCAAAAGCGAAGGCAAUCUUCUGGAACACUACUGACGCUGAGGCGCGAAAGCGUGGGGAGCAAACAGGAUUAGAAACCCCAGUAGUCC